This 257-nucleotide long non-coding RNA is filed under the name Capsicum annuum. RNAcentral describes it as "long non-coding RNA (CANN_LNC015447)". Lineage: Eukaryota; Viridiplantae; Streptophyta; Magnoliopsida; Solanales; Solanaceae. The record is from RNAcentral.
AAGUCAUCUACACCUAGCACACAUAAUCGACCCUGGCAACGUAACACACCAUCUCCUUCUUGGGAGAUAACCUCUAAUUUUUUAUCUUCAACUUACUUUUUCAGCUUAACUAGACUGGUAUCUCUGCCCUACUUUUCCUUUACUCUAGAAACCAGAGAUGAUUCUGAUCUACUCUGUACCCACACACUACCCUCUGCUGAAUCGACCAAUCGGACACUUAGUCAAGAAAGAUGAUGAACUUCCUGAAAUAACUUCUU